Molecule: unclassified non-coding RNA, 356 nt
Filed under: fungal sp.
Lineage: Eukaryota; Fungi
Description: partial internal transcribed spacer region
Rfam family: Eukaryotic small subunit ribosomal RNA (bases 1-46)
Source: RNAcentral
AAGUCGUAACAAGGUUUCCGUAGGUGAACCUGCGGAAGGAUCAUUAAUAAUCCAUAAAUAUAAAAUUGAUACCUCUCCCUUGGAGCUUAUUUUUUUUUUGUUAUAGAAGAAGAAAAAAAGUUGAUAGGGAGGGCGAUAAAAUUUAAAAUAUUGCAGGGGGGUAGAAAAGAAGAGUAGUAUUUUUUUUAAUACUUAAUUUAUUUUCUCCCCCAAAGGUGAUAAAACCUAUAUCUAAUCUAUGUAUAAGCCCUGAUAUCUAAAAAUAAUUAGAGGGGGGUCUCAAUGCACAGAGGAUAAAAAUUUACUCUAUGUAAAAAAAAUAGAUACAACUUUUAACAAUGGAUCUCUUGGCUCUU